UACAGAGGGGGCAAGCGUUGUUCGGAAUUACUGGGCGUAAAGGGCGCGUAGGCGGCCGCCUAAGUCAGACGUGAAAUCCCUCGGCUCAACCGGGGAACUGCGUCUGAUACUGGGUGGCUUGAGUUCGGGAGAGGGAUGCGGAAUUCCAGGUGUAGCGGUGAAAUGCGUAGAUAUCUGGAGGAACACCGGUGGCGAAGGCGGCAUCCUGGACCGAUACUGACACUGAGGAGCGAAAGCCAGGGGAGCAAACGGG
RNAcentral lists this ribosomal RNA (253 nucleotides) under uncultured bacterium. RNAcentral's name for it is "partial 16S ribosomal RNA". It matches the Rfam family "Bacterial small subunit ribosomal RNA", at positions 524 to 776 of the family's 1533-position model. The record is from RNAcentral.